AGAGUUUGAUCAUGGCUCAGAUUGAACGCUAGGAGUAUGCUUAACACAUGCAAGUCGAACGGUAACAGGUUUAAUGGGAUCCCUUCGGGGUGACCUUGGCGCUGACGAGUGGCGGACGGGUGAGUAAUACUUAGGAAUCUGCCCAGUCGCGGGGGACAACUCGAGGAAACUCGAGCUAAUACCGGGGGGGGGGGGGGGGGGGGAAAGCGGGGGAUCUUCGGACCUCGCACUAUUGGAUGAGCCUAAGUCGGAUUAGCUUGUUGGUGAGGUAAUGGCUCACCAAGGCAACGAUCCGUAGCUGGUCUGAGAGGACGACCAGCCACACUGGGACUGAGACACGGCCCAAACUCCUACGGGAGGCA
RNAcentral lists this ribosomal RNA (362 nucleotides) under uncultured deep-sea bacterium. RNAcentral describes it as "partial 16S ribosomal RNA". It matches the Rfam family "Bacterial small subunit ribosomal RNA", at positions 8 to 350 of the family's 1533-position model. The record is from RNAcentral.